ACCCACAUGCAAAUCACCUGAGGUGCUCCCAGAAAAGACCCGCAUCACAGGCCAAGGCCAGUGUGUUGGGUCUCCAUCCAGAAGACAGAAAUGCAGAUGCUGUGGUCCCUCCUCUGCCUGCUGGCAGCUCCCCUGGGUGUCCUAUCUCAACUUACACUUCGGGAGUCCGGCCCAGGACUGGUGAAGCCUUCACAAUCCCUCUCUCUCACCUGCGUUGUCUCCGGAGGCUCCGUUACCAGCAGUUACUACUGGAACUGGAUCCGCCAGCGCCCUGGGAGAGGGUUGGAGUGGCUCGGGUACUGGACAGGUAGCACCAGCUACAACCCGGCUUUCCAGGGCCGCAUCUCCAUCACUGCUGACACAGCCCAGAACCAGUUCUCCCUGCAGCUGAGCUCCAUGACCACCGAGGACACGGCCGUGUAUUACUGUGCAAGAAGCACAGUGAGGGAAAACGAGAUCUCCCCCAUAACCUCUGCUCGCGAUGCAGACCCAUCAGUUCGUUGGUGUCGGCUCCUGGCCAUGCGCCUCUGCCAGCUCCUGAAUGUCAUCCUCAUUCACCUCCAGUCCCCUGGUCUUCCCCAAGGACACAGCUUCAUCGACAACUGGCGGCUGCUGUUCAUGAGCAAGCCCCUCUACGUCAGGUCCAAGAACGCAACCAGGCUACAGUUUUCUGCAAGCAGAAUUGAGGGUUCUCUUGGUGACCCCAUCCCAGGCUUUAUCGAUGAUCUUCAGGCAGUUCACAAUGUGGAAAUGAUUUUUCCCAAGCUCUCAUAG
Molecule: non-coding RNA, 774 nt
Organism: Herpailurus yagouaroundi (jaguarundi)
Lineage: Eukaryota; Metazoa; Chordata; Mammalia; Carnivora; Felidae
Source: the annotation of a RefSeq genome assembly